UAGGGAAUAUUGCACAAUGGAGGAAACUCUGAUGCAGCGACGCCGCGUGAGUGAUGAAGGCCUUCGGGUUGUAAAGCUCUGUUCUCAGGGAAAAAGAAAGUGAUGGUACCUGAGGAGAAAGGACCGGCUAACUUCGUGCCAGCAGCCGCGGUAAGACGAGGGGUCCUAGCGUUGCUCGGAAUUAUUGGGCGUAAAGCGGGUGUAGGUGGCUUUGUAAGUCAGAAGUGAAAGCCCUGGGCUUAACCCAGGAAGUGCUUUUGAUACUGCUUAGCUUGAGUGUGGGAGAGGAUAGUAGAAUUCCUGGUGUAGUGGUGAAAUACGUAGAUAUCAGGAGGAAUACCGGUGGCGAAGGCGGCUAUCUGGCCCAACACUGACACUCAGACCCGAAAGCGUGGGGAUCAAACAGGAUUAGAUACCCGUGUAGUCC
This 427-nucleotide ribosomal RNA is filed under the name uncultured bacterium. RNAcentral describes it as "bacterial SSU rRNA". It matches the Rfam family "Bacterial small subunit ribosomal RNA", at positions 355 to 796 of the family's 1533-position model. The record is from RNAcentral.